RNAcentral lists this ribosomal RNA (406 nucleotides) under uncultured bacterium. Its description in RNAcentral is "partial 16S ribosomal RNA". It matches the Rfam family "Bacterial small subunit ribosomal RNA", at positions 30 to 526 of the family's 1533-position model. The record is from RNAcentral.
AUUGAACGCUGGCGGCAGGCCUAAUACAUGCAAGUCGAACGAGUGGCGGACGGGUGAGUAAUGUCUGGGAAACUGCCCGAUGGAGGGGGAUAACUACUGGAAACGGUAGCUAAUACCGCAUACCAUCGGAUGUGCCCAGAUGGGAUUAGCUAGUGGGUAGGGUAACGGCUCACCUAGGCGACGAUCCCUAGCUGGUCUGAGAGGAUGACCAGCCACACUGGAACUGAGACACGGCCCAGACUCCUACGGGAGGCAGCAGUGGGGAAUAUUGCACAAUGGGCGCAAGCCUGAUGCAGCAAGGCCGCGUGUAUGAAGAAGGCCUUCGGGUUGUAAAGUACUUUCGGCGGGGAGGCGUUACUCGAAGAAGAAGCACCGGCUAACUCCGUGCCAGCAGCCGCGGUAAUAC